GCACAGCAACCAUAAUUUUAUGAUAUCUGAUAUGGCACUGAAGACUUUCCUUCAGCAAUUACCAGUUUGAGGCAAUGCAAACUCCUAUCAUGUAAGACGUUCGCUUGCACGCUUUCCAUCACUGGUCAUUUCAAGAUGCACCUUCUUUCACUGUCCCAAGAGCUCAGAUUUCAUUCCUGAUGGCUGGAAACUUAGAUAUCGGCUGUCCCUCAAAGGCAUUGGUUACAACUUGUUUGUAAGCAGACAGCUGUCAAUUGCACGAGAGCUUUCUGUGAAAGAGGACCUGCUGAGCUUUUGUAGAUCAUGUGAUACAUGUUGAAGAUGGAAUCUAAACACAUGAGAAAUUUCUGGACAAUAUCUUUCUGAACACCUGAACUCCAUCAGGAAUCAAACAGAAGGCCAAGAAAGGCCCGGAGUCAAAGGGCUUCUGGUGCUGAAUUCACAGCUUCGCCCCAGACUCUGCUCUGACUUGCUGCAAUUGCCAGGAAGUCGGGAGGGGAGUGUGUCCCAGAGAGUGCAGGAAGGCAGAGCUUCUGCUGCCUUGUGUCACCAUGCUCACAGUAAAAGAGAAAAGAGGAGGCCAGCUUUACUCUGCUAGAUUCACACUGGCAAUGUAAAGGAAACAAAGCUAGACUACUACUUACACGGCCCUC
This 653-nucleotide long non-coding RNA is filed under the name Struthio camelus australis. Its description in RNAcentral is "lncRNA (ENSSCUG00000018977.1)". The record is from RNAcentral. Lineage: Eukaryota; Metazoa; Chordata; Aves; Struthioniformes; Struthionidae.